CGGUACCUCAGAUGGAAAUGCAGAAAUCACCCGUCUUCUGCGUCGCUCACGCUGGGAGCUGUAGACGGGAGCUGUUGCUAUUCGGCCAUCUUCGAUGCCUGACAUUUUUAAGGCUAGGCUGGCAAACAAUCCAUGAAGACCGCCUCCAGAGAAGAGACUCAUAUUACGUAUAAGAGCUGAAAUGAGCUCCUCACCCCACCCACCCAAGCUCCACUGAGGGGGGAUUUGGAGGCAAAUGAAUGACUGAGAGCACUCAUCUAAGGCCAAGAGAGAGAAGUGGAAUCAUAAAGGAGAGGCAGAGUGGUCCACAGUUUGAGGAAGGAUGGUAGUGGUGGCGAAGAGAGGUGGGGACAGCAGGAAAGACUUCCUUAUAUUUUGAACUUACCUUAAUAAGGAUUCAUAGUUUUCCUGAGACCAUACUAUCUGAAUACAGUGCAUUAAAGGAGGUGCAGAGACUGAAGAUCUGCAUUAAGCAGCAAGUACUUCAGCCCAGGUCCAUGUUCUACGCUCUAUGCAAAUUUCAAAGCUACAUUUCUGGGACCCUUGGCAGGGUGCUCAGGCCAAGCGAGGAUACUGGGUAGAGUCACAAAUUACCCAUGUACUUCCUUUACAUUUGCUUCCACCAGGACUUUAAUUCAGUUUAAAUCAGUUCAAGGUGAAUAUCAAGGGAAACACUGAAGAGUAAAAGAAGUAACAAGAGAGUGUGGUGGGAGUUGUGUACCAAAAGGUAACAAAGACUGCUCUACCCAAUUGCCUUUGUGGAGUGAUGAUGCAUCUGUUGUGUGUGUGUAUGUGGGUUGUACUUUUUUCCUAUACUAUGUGUUGAAGAGGAGGGACUGGGCUGGCCAUUGAGGGAGUGGCCCAAUUGGCAUAUGCUGUGUGCACGGCCAUUCAGCAGGAGAGGGAAUAGCCAGUGAUGGAUCACCUUGACAACAGAGCCAGAAGGCUUCCAGGGUCUUCACAGGCUGGUGGCACCAUGCUAAAUAUACUGUAAUCUAAUACCUGCAACAUCUGUGCAGCCUCAGAAAACUGAUUUUGGCUACAGCUUGAGGAGGACUACCUUCUGAGACACAUUCACAUUAAAUAAAUUCAUAAGCCUGAUGAAGAUAAUUUGAAGGCCAAUUCAUUCUCUUCAGUUCUCUUCAAAGGCUGACAAUAUUUGCUCUACUCCACAUGAUCUUUCUGAACUGACCUCCUGCUACCCACCUCAUGCACCUUGCUUGAGCUACCCUGACCCCGUGCUCUUCCUCAAACACACCAGACAUGCUCACUCUAUCCAGGGUACUUUCCCUUAUUUAUCCUUACAUCUUGCUCCCUCAGCUCCUUUUGGACUUCUCAGUGAAGCUUUAUUCACAUCCUUGUUUAAAAUGCAACAUCAGAGGAGUCACAUCAGCAAGAUGACUGAAUCUGAGGUCCCAGGCUUCACUUUCUGCCACAGAUAUUUCAGCUAGCAAUUAUCCUCAGAUGAAAAGAACUUUGUGAAAACCCAAAAACUUAGGACUAAGACUGAGUGUAAACCAUAGAACUAAAUAAAAUUAUAUCAUAAGAUAAGAGGAAUGAUUUCACUUUGACUACAUCAUCAUUUCCCUCCUUCAAGACAACACGACACAUAGCGAAGAUCCCCUGAAUCGACAGUUUCCAUAGUGAGUAAAGAGCUCUGGAGGUAGUCAUCCAGCUUCUCAGUAUUCAGAGACACUUCUCAGGGAGCUCGCCCCCAUCUCACCUCAAAGGGAACACUAGGUGUAACAAUGGGACUAGACCACCUGGGAUCAGAUAGAAACACCAAAAGGAGGCUCAAGGAUCUUGAUGAUAGCCCUGUGUUUCUGCCGUUGAUGGCAUCCCAGCCAACAGCAGAGCUCACCCACAAAGCCAAGCUGGUGGAUCCCAGAAGUAUAGCAGGACGUUCAAGCUGGCUAGAGCCCUAGGCAGCCAGCCUCCAUACCCAGCCUUGGAGCCUACACCAGAUCCCCACCCAGGCAAGGAGACACCAGCCACAACACAUUUCUGUUGAGCGUAGG
Molecule: long non-coding RNA, 2018 nt
Filed under: Homo sapiens (human)
Lineage: Eukaryota; Metazoa; Chordata; Mammalia; Primates; Hominidae
Description: HSALNT0140259
Source: RNAcentral